Molecule: ribosomal RNA, 217 nt
Filed under: Bacillus subtilis
Lineage: Bacteria; Bacillati; Bacillota; Bacilli; Caryophanales; Bacillaceae
Description: partial 16S ribosomal RNA
Rfam family: Bacterial small subunit ribosomal RNA
Source: RNAcentral
AGAGAUGUGGAGGAACACCGGUGGCGAAGGCGACUCUUUCUUAAGAAGAUGACGCUGAGGAUCGAAAGCGUGGGGAGCGAACAGGAUUAGAUGCCCUGGUAGUCCACGCCGUAAACGAUGAGUGGUAAGUGUUAGGGGGUUUCCGCCCCUUAGUGCUGCAGCUAACGCAUUAAGCAGUCCGGCUGGGGAGUACGGUCGGUAGACUGAAACUCAAAGG